AACGAACGCUGGCGGCAUGCCUAACACAUGCAAGUCGAACGAGACCUUCGGGUCUAGUGGCGCACGGGUGCGUAACGCGUGGGAACUUGCCCUUAGGUUCGGAAUAACUCCCCGAAAGGGGUGCUAAUACCGGAUAAUGUCUUCGGACCAAAGAUUUAUCGCCUUUGGAUGGGCCCGCGUUGGAUUAGCUAGUUGGUAGGGUAAAAGCCUACCAAGGCGACGAUCCAUAGCUGGUCUGAGAGGAUGAUCAGCCACACUGGGACUGAGACACGGCCCAGACUCCUACGCGAUGCAGGAGUGGGGAAUAUUGGACAAUGGGCGAAAGCCUGAUCCAGCAAUGCCGCGUGAGUGAUGAAGGCCUUAGGGUUGUAAAGCUCUUUUACCCGGGAUGAUAAUGACAGUACCGGGAGAAUAAGCUCCGGCUAACUCCGUG
RNAcentral lists this ribosomal RNA (433 nucleotides) under uncultured bacterium. Its description in RNAcentral is "partial 16S ribosomal RNA". It matches the Rfam family "Bacterial small subunit ribosomal RNA", at positions 29 to 507 of the family's 1533-position model. The record is from RNAcentral.